GACGAACGCUGGCGGCGUGCUUAACGCAUGCAAGUCGAACGGAAAGGCCCUGCUUUUGUGCGGUUCUCGAGUGGCGAACGGGUGAGUAACACGUGAGUAACCUGCCCUUGACUUUGGGAUAACUUCAGGAAACUGGGGCUCAUACCGGAUAGGAUCUCCUGCUGCAUGGUGGGGGUUGGAAAGUUUCGGCGGUUGGGGAUGGACUCGCGGCUUAUCAGCUUGUUGGUGGGGUAGUGGCUUACGAAGGGUUUGACGGGUAGCCGGCCUGGGAGGGUGACCGGGGUCAAUGGGCCUGAGGGAGGGAGCAGACGGGAAUGGGAGGCAGCGGGGGGGAGCAUGACAGAACGAGGGGGAGUGAGAGGUGAAAGUGUUGGGAGCGGGAUGACGGGUUACGGGGUGAAAACAGAUGUGGAAGGUGAUGAAGAGGGCGUGACGGUAAUGAGUCAAGAAGCAACGGCUAACUACGUG
Molecule: ribosomal RNA, 468 nt
Filed under: uncultured bacterium
Lineage: Bacteria
Description: partial 16S ribosomal RNA
Rfam family: Bacterial small subunit ribosomal RNA
Source: RNAcentral